Long non-coding RNA from Belonocnema kinseyi, 145 nucleotides. RefSeq lists it as uncharacterized. NCBI's taxonomy places the organism in Eukaryota, Metazoa, Arthropoda, Insecta, Hymenoptera, Cynipidae. The record is from RefSeq and is a predicted model, not a curated record. The transcript is spliced from 2 exons.
CGGCAUGGCGGCACGUGCGCUUCGUAGAUUGGUCCGUCACUCAUGAAUUCUUUGUAAAUAUUUAAAAAGUUUAUACAAAAAUUGAGAUGUGGAUUUGGAUACUUCUCUAUUCGUUAAUUCUAAGCUUAGAACCAAUACUAGCGGA